Molecule: ribosomal RNA, 426 nt
Filed under: uncultured bacterium
Lineage: Bacteria
Description: bacterial SSU rRNA
Rfam family: Bacterial small subunit ribosomal RNA
Source: RNAcentral
GUGAGGAAUAUUGGGCAAUGGACGCAAGUCUGACCCAGCAACGCCGCGUGGAGGAUGAAGGUUCUUGGAUUGUAAACUCCUUUUGCAGGGGAAAAGUAAGGAUGGUACCCUGAGAAUAAGUCACGGCUAACUACGUGCCAGCAGCCGCGGUAAUACGUAGGUGACAAGCGUUAUCCGGAUUUAUUGGGCGUAAAGCGCACGCAGGCGGCUGAUUAAGUCUGACGUGAAAUCUCUCGGCUUAACCGGGAGCGGUCGUUGGAAACUAAUCGGCUUGAGGCGAUGAGAGGGGUGUGGAAUUCCCGGUGUAGUGGUGGAAUGCGUAGAUAUCGGGGGGAACAUCAGUGGCGAAAGCGGCACCCUGGCAUUUGCCUGACGCUCAUGUGCGAAAGCGUGGGGAGCGAACGGGAUUAGAAACCCCGGUAGUCC